UGGGGAAUAUUGGACAAUGUGCGCAAGCCUGAUCCAGCCAUGCCGCGUGAGUGAUGAAGGCCCUAGGGUUGUAAAGCUCUUUCACCGGUGAAGAUAAUGACGGUAACCGGAGAAGAAGCCCCGGCUAACUUCGUGCCAGCAGCCGCGGUAAUACGAAGGGGGCUAGCGUUGUUCGGCUUUACUGGGCGUAAAGCGCACGUAGGCGGACUUUUAAGUCAGGAGUGAAAUCACGGGGCUUAACCCCGGAACUGCCUUUGAUACUGGAAGUCUUGAGUAUGGUAGAGGUGAGUAAAAUUCCGAGUGUAGAGGUGAGAUUCGUGGAUAUUCGGAGGAACACCAGUCGCGAAGGCGGCUCACUGGACCAUUACUGACGCUGAGGUGCGAAAGCGUGGGGAGCAAACAGG
This 404-nucleotide ribosomal RNA is filed under the name Actinomycetes bacterium. RNAcentral's name for it is "Actinobacteria bacterium partial 16S ribosomal RNA". It matches the Rfam family "Bacterial small subunit ribosomal RNA", at positions 355 to 776 of the family's 1533-position model. The record is from RNAcentral. Lineage: Bacteria; Bacillati; Actinomycetota; Actinomycetes.